UGGGGAAUAUUUGACAAUGGGCGCAAGCCUGAUCCAGCCAUGCCGCGUGAGUGAUGAAGGCCCUAGGGUUGUAAAGCUCUUUCACCGGUGAAGAUAAUGACGGUAACCGGAGAAGAAGCCCCGGCUAACUUCGUGCCAGCAGCCGCGGUAAUACGAAGGGGGCUAGCGUUGUUCGGAUUUACUGGGCGUAAAGCGCACGUAGGCGGACUAUUAAGUCAGGGGUGAAAUCCCGGGGCUCAACCCCGGAACUGCCUUUGAUACUGGUAGUCUUGAGUUCGAGAGAGGUGAGUGGAAUUCCGGGUGUAGAGGUGAAAUUCGUAGAUAUUCGGAGGAACACCAGUGGCGAAGGCGGCUCACUGGCUCGAUACUGACGCUGGGGUGCGAAAGCGUGGGGAGCAAACAGG
This 404-nucleotide ribosomal RNA is filed under the name Actinomycetes bacterium. RNAcentral's name for it is "Actinobacteria bacterium partial 16S ribosomal RNA". It matches the Rfam family "Bacterial small subunit ribosomal RNA", at positions 355 to 776 of the family's 1533-position model. The record is from RNAcentral. Lineage: Bacteria; Bacillati; Actinomycetota; Actinomycetes.